CAGUCGCCGCGGUAAUACGUAGGGUGCGAGCGUUAAUCGGAAUUACUGGGCGUAAAGCGUGCGCAGGCGGUUGUGCAAGACAGAUGUGAAAUCCCCGAGCUUAACUUGGGAACUGCAUUUGUGACUGCACGGCUAGAGUGUGUCAGAGGGGGGUAGAAUUCCACGUGUAGCAGUGAAAUGCGUAGAUAUGUGGAGGAAUACCGAUGGCGAAGGCAGCCCCCCGGGAUAACACUGACGCUCAUGCACGAAAGCGUGGGGAGCAAACAGGAUUAGAUACCCCUGUAGUCCCUGUCUCUUAUAA
This 301-nucleotide ribosomal RNA is filed under the name uncultured bacterium. Its description in RNAcentral is "partial 16S ribosomal RNA". It matches the Rfam family "Bacterial small subunit ribosomal RNA", at positions 509 to 809 of the family's 1533-position model. The record is from RNAcentral.